RNAcentral lists this long non-coding RNA (1707 nucleotides) under Scophthalmus maximus (turbot). RNAcentral's name for it is "lncRNA (ENSSMAG00000035391.1)". The record is from RNAcentral. Lineage: Eukaryota; Metazoa; Chordata; Actinopteri; Pleuronectiformes; Scophthalmidae.
AUGAUAGGGUUAGAUCUCUCAGCCCUAUGUUCCCUCAACACUAUGUUCCCUCAACACUAUGUUCCCUCAACACUAUGUUCCCUCAACACUAUGUUCCCUCAGCCCUAUGUUCCCUCAACCCUAUGUUCCCUCAACUCUAUGUUCCCUCAGUCCUAUGUUCCCUCAACACUAUGUUCCCUCAACACUAUGUUCCCUCAACCCUAUGUUCCCUCAACACUAUGUUCCCUCAACACUAUGUUCCCUCAACCCUAUGUUCCCUCAACACUAUGUUCCCUCAACUCUAUGUUCCCUCAGUCCUAUGUUCCCUCAACACUAUGUUCCCUCAACACUAUGUUCCCUCAACACUAUGUUCCCUCAACACUAUGUUCCCUCAACCCUAUGUUCCCUCAACACUAUGUUCCUUCAACACUAUGUUCCCUCAGUCCUAUGUUCCCUCAACACUAUGUUCCCUCAACACUAUGUUCCCUCAACCCUAUGUUCCCUCAACCCUAUGUUCCCUCAACACUAUGUUCCCUCAACACUAUGUUCCUCAACUCUAUGUUCCCUCAACACUAUGUUCUCUCAACACUAUGUUCCCUCAACACUAUGUUCCCUCAACUCUAUGUUCCCUCAACACUAUGUUCCCUCAACCCUAUGUUCCCUCAACACUAUGUUCCCUCAACCCUAUGUUCCCUCAACACUAUGUUCCCUCAACACUAUGUUCCCUCAACACUAUGUUCCCUCAACUCCUAUGUUCCCUCAACACUAUGUUCCCUCAACACUAUGUUCCCUCAACACUAUGUUCCCUCAACACUAUGUUCCCUCAACACUAUGUUCCCUCAGUCCUAUGUUCCCUCAGUCCUAUGUUCCCUCAACACUAUGUUCCCUCAACACUAUGUUCCCUCAACUCUAUGUUCCCUCAACACUAUGUUCCCUCAACACUAUGUUCCCUCAACUCUAUGUUUCCUCAACACUAUGUUCCCUCAACUCUAUGUUCCCUCAACACUAUGUUCCCUCAACACUAUGUUCCCUCAACACUAUGUUCCCUCAACUCUAUGUUCUCUCAGUCCUAUGUUCCCUCAGUCCUAUGUUCCCUCAACACUAUGUUCCCUCAACACUAUGUUCCCUCAACUAUAUGUUCUCUCAGUCCUAUGUUCCCUCAGUCCUAUGUUCCCUCAACACUAUGUUCCCUCAACACUAUGUUCCCUCAACCCUAUGUUCCCUCAACACUAUGUUCCCUCAACUCUAUGUUCUCUCAGUCCUAUGUUCCCUCAGUCCUAUGUUCCCUCAACACUAUGUUCCCUCAGUCCUAUGUUCCCUCAACUCUAUGUUCCCUCAACACUAUGUUCCCUCAACUCUAUGUUCCCUCAACUCUAUGUUCCCUCAACACUAUGUUCCCUCAACUCUAUGUUUCCUCAACACUAUGUUCCCUCAACCCUAUGUUCCCUCAACACUAUGUUCCCUCAACACUAUGUUCCCUCAACUCUAUGUUCCCUCAACACUAUGUUCCCUCAACACUAUGUUCCCUCUGCACUAUGUUCCCUUAACUCUAUGUUCCCUCAACACUAUGUUCCCUCAACUCUAUGUUCCCUUAACUCUAUGUUCCCUCAACACUAUGUUCCCUCAACACUAUGUUCCCUCAACACUAUGUUCCCUCAACACUAUGUUCCCUCAACUCUAUGUUCCCUCAACACUAUGUUCCCUCAGCACUAUGUUCCCUCAACUUAA